CGGGGCGUAGCGCAGUCUGGUAGCGCACCUGCUUCGGGAGCAGGGGGCCGGAGGUUCAAAUCCUCUCGCCCCGACCA
RNAcentral lists this transfer RNA (77 nucleotides) under Rickettsiales bacterium. RNAcentral's name for it is "tRNA-Pro". It matches the Rfam family "tRNA". From Rfam's summary of the family: Transfer RNA (tRNA) molecules are approximately 80 nucleotides in length. Their secondary structure includes four short double-helical elements and three loops (D, anti-codon, and T loops). Lineage: Bacteria; Pseudomonadati; Pseudomonadota; Alphaproteobacteria; Rickettsiales. The record is from RNAcentral.